This 435-nucleotide ribosomal RNA is filed under the name uncultured bacterium. Its description in RNAcentral is "bacterial SSU rRNA". It matches the Rfam family "Bacterial small subunit ribosomal RNA", at positions 355 to 796 of the family's 1533-position model. The record is from RNAcentral.
UCGAGGAUCUUCGGCAAUGGGCGCAAGCCUGACCGAGCGACGCCGCGUGUGCGAUGAAGGCCUUCGGGUUGUAAAGCACUGUCGAGGGGGAGGAAGCUCCGCAAGGAGUUGACCGACCCCUGGAGGAAGCACGGGCUAAGUUCGUGCCAGCAGCCGCGGUAAGACGAACCGUGCAAACGUUAUUCGGAAUCACUGGGCUUAAAGGGCGCGUAGGCGGGCCAGCAAGUCAGGGGUGAAAUCUUUCAGCUCAACUGGAAAAGGGCCUUUGAUACUGCUGGUCUCGAGGGAGGUAGGGGCAUGCGGAACUUCCGGUGGAGCGGUGAAAUGCGUAGAUAUCGGAAGGAACGCCGGUGGCGAAAGCGGCGUGCUGGACCUCUUCUGACGCUGAGGCGCGAAAGCUAGGGGAGCAAACGGGAUUAGAUACCCCCGUAGUCC